GCUCUGGCUGGGCGGUCUGCCUGUCAUGGGCACGUACUGCUAUUUUCCGGCUGGAGCUAUUCCUUCUGGAGAGCGCGCAUGCCCUUUGCUGGGUGUGUGCGGGAUUCAGGACUUUUACUUUGAAAAAAUUAGAGUGUUUAAAGCAGGCGUAGGCUUGAAUACAUUAGCAUGGAAUAAUAGAAUAGGACCAUGGUUCUAUUUUGUUGGUUUCUAGGACCAAGGUA
Molecule: ribosomal RNA, 224 nt
Filed under: uncultured fungus
Lineage: Eukaryota; Fungi
Description: partial small subunit ribosomal RNA
Rfam family: Eukaryotic small subunit ribosomal RNA (bases 101-224)
Source: RNAcentral